CCUACGGGAGGCAGCAGUAAGGAAUAUUGGUCAAUGGACGCAAGUCUGAACCAGCCAUGCCGCGUGCAGGAUGAAGGCCCUCUGGGUUGUAAACUGCUUUUAUAGGGGACGAAAAAGGGACUUUCUAGUUCAACUGACGGUACCCUAGGAAUAAGCACCGGCUAACUCCGUGCCAGCAGCCGCGGUAAUACGGAGGGUGCAAGCGUUAUCCGGAUUUACUGGGUUUAAAGGGUGCGUAGGUGGGUCGGUAAGUCAGCGGUGAAAUCUUCGAGCUUAACUCGGAAACUGCCAUUGAUACUAUCGAUCUUGAAUCAUCUAGAGGUAAGCGGAAUAUGUCAUGUAGCGGUGAAAUGCUUAGAUAUGACAUAGAACACCAAUUGCGAAGGCAGCUUACUAUGGAUGUAUUGACACUGAGGCACGAAAGCGUGGGGAUCAAACAGGAUUAGAUACCCUGGUAGUCCACGCCCUAAACGAUGGAUACUCGACAUCAGCGAUACACUGUUGGUGUCUGAGCGAAAGCAUUAAGUAUCCCACCUGGAAGUACGAUCGCAGAUUGAAACUCAAAUGAAUUGACGG
RNAcentral lists this ribosomal RNA (576 nucleotides) under uncultured bacterium. Its description in RNAcentral is "bacterial SSU rRNA". It matches the Rfam family "Bacterial small subunit ribosomal RNA", at positions 338 to 916 of the family's 1533-position model. The record is from RNAcentral.